UGGGGAAUAUUGCACAAUGGGCGCAAGCCUGAUGCAGCCAUGCCGCGUGUAUGAAGAAGGCCUUCGGGUUGUAAAGUACUUUCAGCGGGGAGGAAGGCGAUAAGGUUAAUAACCUUGUCGAUUGACGUUACCCGCAGAAGAAGCACCGGCUAACUCCGUGCCAGCAGCCGCGGUAAUACGGAGGGUGCAAGCGUUAAUCGGAAUUACUGGGCGUAAAGCGCACGCAGGCGGUCUGUCAAGUCGGAUGUGAAAUCCCCGGGCUCAACCUGGGAACUGCAUUCGAAACUGGCAGGCUAGUGUCUUGUAGAGGGGGGUAGAAUUCCAGGUGUAGCGGUGAAAUGCGUAGAGAUCUGGAGGAAUACCGGUGGCGAAGGCGGCCCCCUGGACAAAGACUGACGCUCAGGUGCGAAAGCGUGGGGAGCAAACA
Molecule: ribosomal RNA, 427 nt
Filed under: uncultured bacterium
Lineage: Bacteria
Description: partial 16S ribosomal RNA
Rfam family: Bacterial small subunit ribosomal RNA
Source: RNAcentral